This 427-nucleotide ribosomal RNA is filed under the name uncultured Aquicella sp. Its description in RNAcentral is "partial 16S ribosomal RNA". It matches the Rfam family "Bacterial small subunit ribosomal RNA", at positions 355 to 774 of the family's 1533-position model. The record is from RNAcentral. Lineage: Bacteria; Pseudomonadati; Pseudomonadota; Gammaproteobacteria; Legionellales; Coxiellaceae.
UGGGGAAUAUUGGACAAUGGGGGCAACCCUGAUCCAGCGAUGCCGCGUGGGUGAAGAAGGCCUUCGGGUUGUAAAGCCCUUUAAGCUGGGAAGAAGUAAGUCGUGUGAAUAGCACGAUUUGUUGACGGUACCGGCAGAAUAAGCGCCGGCAAACUCUGUGCCAGCAGCCGCGGUAAUACAGAGGGCGCGAGCGUUAAUCGGAUUAACUGGGCGUAAAGGGCGCGUAGGCGGUUGUGUGAGUGUGAUGUGAAAGCCCUGGGCUUAACCUAGGAAGUGCAUCGCAAACGACAUGACUGGAGUAUUGGAGAGGGUAGCGGAAUUUCCGGUGUAGCGGUGAAAUGCGUAGAGAUCGGAAGGAACGUCAAUGGCGAAGGCAGCUACCUGGCCAAAUACUGACGCUGAGGCGCGAAAGCGUGGGGAGCAAACA